CCUACGGGAGGCAGCAGUGGGGAAUAUUGGACAAUGGGGGCAACCCUGACCCAGCCAUGCCGCGUGUGUGAAGAAGGCCCUCGGGUUGUAAAGCACUUUCAGUGAGGAAGAACGCCUGGUGGUUAAUACCCAUCAGGAAAGACAUCACUCACAGAAGAAGCACCGGCUAACUCCGUGCCAGCAGCCGCGGUAAUACGGAGGGUGCGAGCGUUAAUCGGAAUUACUGGGCGUAAAGCGCGCGUAGGUGGCUUGAUAAGCCGGUUGUGAAAGCCCCGGGCUCAACCUGGGAACGGCAUCCGGAACUGUCAAGCUAGAGUGCAGGAGAGGAAGGUAGAAUUCCCGGUGUAGCGGUGAAAUGCGUAGAGAUCGGGAGGAAUACCAGUGGCGAAGGCGGCCUUCUGGACUGACACUGACACUGAGGUGCGAAAGCGUGGGUAGCAAACAGGAUUAGAUACCCUGGUAGUC
This 465-nucleotide ribosomal RNA is filed under the name Vreelandella stevensii. RNAcentral's name for it is "partial 16S ribosomal RNA". It matches the Rfam family "Bacterial small subunit ribosomal RNA", at positions 338 to 795 of the family's 1533-position model. Lineage: Bacteria; Pseudomonadati; Pseudomonadota; Gammaproteobacteria; Oceanospirillales; Halomonadaceae. The record is from RNAcentral.